UACCAGACUCCUACGGGAGGCAGCAGUGAGGAAUAUUGGUCAAUGGGCGGAAGCCUGAACCAGCCAAGUCGCGUGAGGGAAUAAGGCCCUACGGGUCGUAAACCUCUUUUGUCGGGGAGCAAGGGCGGGGACGUGUCCCGGCCCGGAGAGUACCCGGAGAAAAAGCAUCGGCUAACUCCGUGCCAGCAGCCGCGGUAAUACGGAGGAUCCGAGCGUUAUCCGGAUUUAUUGGGUUUAAAGGGAGCGUAGAUGGGUUGUUAAGUCAGUUGUGAAAGUUUGCGGCUCAACCGUAAAAUUGCAAUUGAUACUGGCAGCCUUGAGUACAGUUGAGGUAGGCGGAAUUCGUGGUGUAGCGGUGAAAUGCUUAGAUAUCGCGCAGAACUCCGAUUGCGAAGGCAGCAUGCCGGCUCCACACUGACGCUGAGGCACGAAAGCGUGGGUAUCGAACAGGAUUAGAUACCCCUGUAGA
This 469-nucleotide ribosomal RNA is filed under the name uncultured bacterium. Its description in RNAcentral is "bacterial SSU rRNA". It matches the Rfam family "Bacterial small subunit ribosomal RNA", at positions 329 to 794 of the family's 1533-position model. The record is from RNAcentral.